UCCGAGUUGACCCCGGCAGUCUCCUAUGAGUCCCCACCAUAACGUGCUGGCAACACAGGACGAGGGUUGCGCUCGUUGCGGGACUUAACCCAACAUCUCACGACACGAGCUGACGACAACCAUGCACCACCUGUACACCGACCUUGCGGGGAGCACAUCUCUGCACUUUUCCGGUGUAUGUCAAGCCUUGGUAAGGUUCUUCGCGUUGCAUCGAAUUAAUCCGCAUGCUCCGCCGCUUGUGCGGGCCCCCGUCAAUUCCUUUGAGUUUUAGCCUUGCGGCCGUACUCCCCAGGCGGGGCACUUAAUGCGUUAGCUGCGGCACGGAAUCCGUGGAAUGGACCCCACACCUAGUGCCCAACGUUUACGGCAUGGACUAC
Molecule: unclassified non-coding RNA, 377 nt
Filed under: uncultured Micrococcales bacterium
Lineage: Bacteria; Bacillati; Actinomycetota; Actinomycetes; Micrococcales
Description: contains 16S-23S intergenic spacer region
Source: RNAcentral